GAAGAAGGUAUCUUUGGGUCUGGCUCUUGUCUAUGUUUCUUGGAACAGAACGUCACAGAGGGUGAGAAUCCCGUGCGAUGAGAUGAUCCAGGCCUAUGUAAAGUUCCUUCGAAGAGUCGAGUUGUUUGGGAAUGCAGCUCUAAGUGGGUGGUAAAUUCCAUCUAAAGCUAAAUAUUGGCGAGAGACCGAUAGCGAACAAGUACAGUGAUGGAAAGAUGAAAAGAACUUUGAAAAGAGAGUGAAAAAGUACGUGAAAUUGUUGAAAGGGAAGGGCUUGAGAUCAGACUUGGUAUUUUGUAUGUUACUUCUUCGGGGGUGGCCUCUACAGUUUAUCGGGCCAGCAUCAGUUUGGGCGGUAGGAGAAUUGCGUUGGAAUGUGGCACGGCUUCGGUUGUGUGUUAUAGCCUUCGUCGAUACUGCCAGCCUAGACUGAGGACUGCGGUUUAUACCUAGGAUGUUGGCAUAAUGAUCUUAAGUCGCCCGUCUUGAACCACGAGACCAUG
This 503-nucleotide ribosomal RNA is filed under the name Candida tropicalis. RNAcentral describes it as "LSU rRNA". It matches the Rfam family "Eukaryotic large subunit ribosomal RNA", at positions 151 to 670 of the family's 3401-position model. The record is from RNAcentral. Lineage: Eukaryota; Fungi; Ascomycota; Pichiomycetes; Serinales; Debaryomycetaceae.